Molecule: long non-coding RNA, 238 nt
Filed under: Lathyrus oleraceus (garden pea)
Lineage: Eukaryota; Viridiplantae; Streptophyta; Magnoliopsida; Fabales; Fabaceae
Description: Pisum sativum (pea) long non-coding RNA (PSAT_LNC012884)
Source: RNAcentral
UUUGAAGACCUUGAGUUGAUGGUUUGCAUCUUGAAACCCUAAUCAGGGAGCCUUGGUACUUAUGGGCCUUGUUAGCUUGACUUUUGAUCUUGGGAUUGACUGAAACCCUAAUUCAUUGGGAGCAAGUUCUUGACCAUCAUGUCAUGCAUCAUAAAUCAUUAAAUUGGCUUUGUGCAAAAGUAUCCAUUUUACCUACAUGCCUAUAUGCUUGGGAUUUCAUCUGGUUCAAGGCUUUGUU